This is a long non-coding RNA of Apis mellifera (honey bee), 1749 nucleotides long. RefSeq lists it as uncharacterized. NCBI's taxonomy places the organism in Eukaryota, Metazoa, Arthropoda, Insecta, Hymenoptera, Apidae. The transcript is spliced from 2 exons. The record is from RefSeq and is a predicted model, not a curated record.
GAAAUUAAUUUCUCUCCAAUCUAAUAAUUUCCAAUCGAUUGGCUUUCGCCAAUUUCAAUUUCAUUGGCCUUUCACCGCCAUAAAAAUCGUACAAUCUUUCGUACAAUCUCUCAAAUAAAUACAUAAUAAUAGAAAGAGCAGUGUACCGGCGCUGCCAGUUCCUCGAAGACGCCUUUUCUUCGAGCACAACCGGCCGCAUUUUCUACACGGAGGAGAAUUAUUCGCCCGAUAUCUCACUGGAUGGGGAUCUCGUCGCAUAAUAGCCUAUCCCCCACGGUUUCUAUCGAUCCGAUACGCUCGACGGGCGUUGGAAUAAAAUCGAGGAUCGAGGGAAUGCACGGCCGAUCAACCAAUCGAUAUCCAAUCGGAUCGAUCGGUUUCGACGAUCGGACAAUAUGAGCGUGACAAAGAGGCCACUCCACGCUCGUUUCGAUCGCUUUUACAACGAAAUAUUCCUCGCCUCGUUUUCUCUUCCAGAAUCAAAUGGAAUAAUACCACGCAUCCCCUACUUCCACGCGGAGAAGGAAACUUUCGAAUAUGCAAAUUCCACCUUUUACCGGUUUUAAUCUUUCAUACACGCGUAUUAUGUAACUCGAAAGGUUAUUUUGCGUGCAUCGUUAUUUUGGAUAUCGCGAGCCAAAACGAGCGAUAAUGGGACGGCAUGCAUCUAAUCGAGACGGAUCAGUUUAAAAUAAUUUUUAUCUUAUUCUAUUUUUUUUUUUUUUAGAAAAAGUCACUUUUCCUUUGCCUCGGUCUAAUUAAAUCACACAUCUUUUCGUACAUCCUUUCAUUUAUGCACACAUCUUGAUCUGAAGAUAAAAUUAUUAUUUCUUGCCACGUGAAAAAGAAAAAAAGAAGAUUUCUUAUUUUUUAUUUUCAAAGGUACAAUUUUCCUAAUAUUAUUCCUUGAUUAAUUCAAUAAUUCAACUUCCAGGCAACCUUUCUUCGACCAUGAAAAAUGACAUGAAGCAAUCGUGUGAUUCGCUCCCUUUUUCAUCUCCUUAGAAAGAGAAGGAGAAAGAGAGAGAGCAUGGAAUUUUGCCGCGUUCCCAUGAAACACGGUAGAUUAACUCUUCCGACGAGUUGUUGGUUCGAAAAUCGUUGCCGGUUCGUGCGUCCGCUAAACUUUUACUUUGCAAAUCGAUAGUGGUAACAGGCGGAUCGUUCCAUCGUCACGGGAAUCCGCGUGGCUCGUGAGAAAGUUAGCAACGCGUUUUGAUCUUUUAAUAAGGGAAUAAUCGUGGUCGAGAUGGAAGAGAUUUCGAUCUCGUUGAUUUGAAGUUCGAGAGGCAAUAACGAUAGACAGAAUCGAGAGAUGAGAUUCCUUGUGGAGUGUAAAUAUUAUUAUUUGAUCUAAAACUGCGCAAAAAGUCGCUGGAGGAUAAAACAAUGUGAUAACUAAUUGUUAAGAAUAUUAUAGAAGAAGAAUCGUGGUAGCCGUGAUUAAUUAAUUAAGGACGGAUCGAUCGAGUCGAGACGAGUUGAAGAAGAGCAAUUUCAUCUUUAAUGGCGGCUCGUCGUAAGAAGUUGGGCCGUGAAAAUUAAUGACGUGCCCGUGCAAUGUUAUAGCACAUUAAUUAUUUAGAACGAUUAUCCAUAGUUCGAAAGGAGAGUAUCGGUUAAUCCGCUUUCGUGCCGCGGUAAAACGGAGCCUUCCAGCAAUGGGGGAGUAUAAGUACUUGUUCUAUUAAAAUUUUUUCCAAUCCCCAAGGUUUGUCGAACUUUCACAAUGUUUAAAAAAAAAAAAAA